GGUUGAGUAGCUCAGUUGGAUAAGAGCGUUUCACUUUUAAUGAAAAUGUCACAGGUUCGAUCCCUGUCUCAACCA
This 75-nucleotide transfer RNA is filed under the name Friedmanniomyces endolithicus. RNAcentral's name for it is "tRNA-Lys". It matches the Rfam family "tRNA". Rfam says of the family: Transfer RNA (tRNA) molecules are approximately 80 nucleotides in length. Their secondary structure includes four short double-helical elements and three loops (D, anti-codon, and T loops). Further hydrogen bonds mediate the characteristic L-shaped molecular structure. tRNAs have two regions of fundamental functional importance: the anti-codon, which is responsible for specific mRNA codon recognition, and the 3' end, to which the tRNAs corresponding amino acid is attached (by aminoacyl-tRNA synthetases). tRNAs cope with the degeneracy of the genetic code in two manners: having more than one tRNA (with a specific anti-codon) for a particular amino acid; and 'wobble' base-pairing, i.e. permitting non-standard base-pairing at the 3rd anti-codon position. Lineage: Eukaryota; Fungi; Ascomycota; Dothideomycetes; Mycosphaerellales; Teratosphaeriaceae. The record is from RNAcentral.